This 246-nucleotide ribosomal RNA is filed under the name uncultured Coriobacteriaceae bacterium. RNAcentral describes it as "partial 16S ribosomal RNA". It matches the Rfam family "Bacterial small subunit ribosomal RNA", at positions 1138 to 1382 of the family's 1533-position model. Lineage: Bacteria; Bacillati; Actinomycetota; Coriobacteriia; Coriobacteriales; Coriobacteriaceae. The record is from RNAcentral.
CUCAUAGGAGACUGCCGGCGUCGAAGCCGGAGGAAGGUGGGGAUGACGUCAAGUCAUCAUGCCCCUUAUGUCCUGGGCUGCACACGUGCUACAAUGGCCGGUACAAUGGGCUGCGAUGCCGCGAGGCGGAGCGAAUCCCAUAAAACCGGCCCCAGUUCGGAUCGGAGGCUGCAACUCGCCUCCGUGAAGUCGGAGUUGCUAGUAAUCGCGGAUCAGCAUGCCGCGGUGAAUACGUUCCCGGGCCUU